Schistocerca cancellata (South American locust) is the source of this 671-nucleotide long non-coding RNA. RefSeq lists it as uncharacterized. Lineage: Eukaryota; Metazoa; Arthropoda; Insecta; Orthoptera; Acrididae. The transcript has 3 exons. The record is from RefSeq and is a predicted model, not a curated record.
UUCUGUGACAUAUCCCUGUAAAGGAACUGUUCAGUGGAAACAUGGUUCGUACAUAUAAAAGGACACCAGGUUCCAGAUGCUAACGUCAGUAGACUGAAGCAGCGGUGUUCGAAGCAAUUGAUAAAGUGAAAUCAAUGAAAAUGUCACGUGGAGAAGAUCAAGAGAGGCCAAGCAAAUGAAGACUCUAGGAAAUAAGAGCCUAUGAUACUGAAGUACAUCAGGGAGACAUUAUGAUGGAGUGAAGGACUGGCAACAGAACAAAAACCAGAAACCCCAGACAGCACCUGGAACCUGUUUGUCAGACAAAGCAGGGAGGCCUUAUGUGCGGCCACCUGGGAAGUCUUUCACCUCCCACUCGACCACAGGUGAGGGGUCAACCUCAGUGCAAGCAGUAACACCAGUGAGGACUGAUCGGAGGACUUAGAUGUGCUGGAUGUCCGUUGGAUCCCCAUGGCCAGCCCACAACAUUGGUGCCCAUCCACUGCAGCCUCAAGCUGUGUCACUGAAGCCAUCAUAGCCUGGAGCUGAGAGCAAAGUGUCACCAACUCGGCUUGCAUCUGCACACAACAAUUGCAGUCCCUGUCCAUACUAAACACAGUGGAAAACUAAACUAUGCCAAUAAAUGGACUAUCAGCACGUGCUGCGGAACUCUACUGUAGACACUGAUGAAA